GUGUCAGCAGCCGCGGUAAUACGUAGGGAUCGAGCGUUGUCCGGAUUUAUUGGGCGUAAAGAGCUCGUAGGUGGCUCAGUAAGUCGGAUGUGAAAUCUCCAGGCUCAACCUGGAGAGGCCAUUCGAUACUGCUGUGGCUAGAGUCCGGUAGGGGCCCACGGAACUCCUGGUGUAGCGGUGAAAUGCGCAGAUAUCAGGAAGAACACCGGUGGCGAAGGCGGUGGGCUGGGCCGGCACUGACACUGAAGAGCGAAAGCGUGGGGAGCGAACAGGAUUAGAUACCCGCGUAGUCC
RNAcentral lists this ribosomal RNA (293 nucleotides) under uncultured Acidimicrobiales bacterium. Its description in RNAcentral is "partial 16S ribosomal RNA". It matches the Rfam family "Bacterial small subunit ribosomal RNA", at positions 505 to 796 of the family's 1533-position model. The record is from RNAcentral. Lineage: Bacteria; Bacillati; Actinomycetota; Acidimicrobiia; Acidimicrobiales.